RNAcentral lists this ribosomal RNA (429 nucleotides) under uncultured archaeon. Its description in RNAcentral is "bacterial SSU rRNA". It matches the Rfam family "Archaeal small subunit ribosomal RNA", at positions 474 to 903 of the family's 1478-position model. The record is from RNAcentral.
UACCAGCUCUCCGAGUUGUAGGGACGAUUAUUGGGCUUAAAGCGUCCGUAGCUGGCCUAGCAAGUCUCCUGUUAAAUUCAGCGACCUAAUCGUUGAGCCGCGGGAGAUACUACUAGGCUAGGAGGCGGGAGAGGUCGACGGUACUUUCGGGGUAGGGGUGAAAUCCUAUAAUCCCGGGAGGACCACCAGUGGCGAAGGCUGUCGACUAGAACGCGCUCGACGGUGAGGGACGAAAGCUGGGGUAGCGAACCGGAUUAGAUACCCGGGUAGUCCCAGCUGUAAACUAUGCGGGCUAGGUGUUGGGGUGGCUACGGGCCACUUCAGUGCCGCAGGAAAGCCAUUAAGCCCGCCGCCUGGGGAGUACGGCCGCAAGGCUGAGACUUAAAGGAAUUGGCGGGGGAGCACCACAAGGCGUGAAGCUUGCGGUUC